This 514-nucleotide ribosomal RNA is filed under the name uncultured Planctomycetota bacterium. RNAcentral describes it as "bacterial SSU rRNA". It matches the Rfam family "Bacterial small subunit ribosomal RNA", at positions 355 to 870 of the family's 1533-position model. Lineage: Bacteria; Pseudomonadati; Planctomycetota. The record is from RNAcentral.
UCGAGAAUCUUCGGCAAUGGGCGCAAGCCUGACCGAGCGACGCCGCGUGGAGGACGAAGGCCUUCGGGUUGUAAACUCCUGUCGAGGGGGAACAAGACGCCGUGCAGAGCGGCGUUUGAGUGAUCCCUGGAGGAAGCACGGGCUAAGUUCGUGCCAGCAGCCGCGGUAAGACGAACCGUGCGAACGUUAUUCGGAAUCACUGGGCUUAAAGCGCGUGUAGGCGGGCCGGCACGUCGGCGGCUGAAAUCCCCCGGCUCAACCGGGGAAGGGCCCCGAUACGACCGGCCUGGAGGGGGGUAGGGGGACGGGAACUUCCGGUGGAGCGGUGAAAUGCGUUGAGAUCGGAAGGAACGCCCGCGGCGAAAGCGCGUCCCUGGACCCCACCUGACGCUGAGACGCGAAAGCCAGGGGAGCGAACGGGAUUAGAUACCCCGGUAGUCCUGGCCGUAAACCAUGAGCACUGGGUAGGGGCUCGCCGAUGGGCUCCCUGCCGCAGCGAAGCGUGAAGUGCUCC